GACAGAGGGUGCAAACGUUGUUCGGAUUUACUGGGCGUAAAGCGUGUGUAGGCGGCUUUGCAAGUCGGAUGUGAAAUCCCACGGCUCAACCGUGGAAGUGCAUCCGAAACGGCAUCGCUUGAGUCUCGGAGAGGAAGGUGGAAUGCUUGGUGUAGAGGUGAAAUUCGUAGAUAUUAGGAAGAACACCGGUGGCGAAGGCGGCCCACUGGUCCGGUACUGACGCUGAGGUGCGAAAGCGUGGGGAGCAAACAGG
Molecule: ribosomal RNA, 253 nt
Filed under: uncultured bacterium
Lineage: Bacteria
Description: partial 16S ribosomal RNA
Rfam family: Bacterial small subunit ribosomal RNA
Source: RNAcentral